GGAGGAAAGUAGGGGAUCGCAAGACCUUGCGCUAAAGGAGCGGCCGAUGUCUGAUUAGCUAGUUGGUGGGGUAAAGGCCUACCAAGGCAACGAUCAGUAGCUGGUCUGAGAGGACGAUCAGCCACACUGGGACUGAGACACGGCCCAGACUCCUACGGGAGGCAGCAGUGGGGAAUUUUGGACAAUGGGCGAAAGCCUGAUCCAGCCAUGCCGCGUGAGUGAAGAAGGCCUUCGGGUUGUAAAGCUCUUUUAGUUGGAAAGAAAGAAUUAUAGUUAAUAGCUAUAAUUUAUGACGGUACCAACAGAAAAAGCACCGGCUAACUACGUGCCAGCAGCCGCGGUAAUACGUAGGGUGCGAGCGUUAAUCGGAAUUACUGGGCGUAAAGGGUGCGCAGGCGGCCAUGCAAGUCAGAUGUGAAAGCCCCGGGCUUAACCUGGGAAUUGCGUUUGAAACUACAAAGCUAG
This 465-nucleotide ribosomal RNA is filed under the name uncultured ammonia-oxidizing bacterium. RNAcentral's name for it is "bacterial SSU rRNA". It matches the Rfam family "Bacterial small subunit ribosomal RNA", at positions 198 to 644 of the family's 1533-position model. The record is from RNAcentral.